Molecule: non-coding RNA, 288 nt
Organism: Pelobates cultripes (western spadefoot toad)
Lineage: Eukaryota; Metazoa; Chordata; Amphibia; Anura; Pelobatidae
Source: the annotation of a GenBank genome assembly
AGGUUGGCCACCCAGUAAUCAACACAAGUUAGAAUGUGGGCAACUCGGCAGUCGUUGCACAGGCACUUUGGUGACUCUAGAUAACCUCGGGCCGAUCGCACGUCCGCAUAACGACGCAUUCGGAUGUCUGCCCUAUCAACUUUCGAUGGUACUUUCUGCGCCUACCAUGGUGACCACGGGUAACGGGGAAUCAUGGUUCGAUUCCGUAGAGGGAGCUUGAGAAACGGCUACUACAUCCAAGGAAGGCAGCAGGCGUGCAAAUUACCCACUCCCGAUGCAGGGAGGCAG